RNAcentral lists this long non-coding RNA (1525 nucleotides) under Homo sapiens (human). Its description in RNAcentral is "HSALNT0310896". Lineage: Eukaryota; Metazoa; Chordata; Mammalia; Primates; Hominidae. The record is from RNAcentral.
GAGAAAGUUGAGAGAAAUAGGUAGGCUCUUGUUUCAGGUCUGUUGUGGAUAUUGUGACACAAUACAUUAGGCAAGUCCCUUGACAUUUCCUGCUAAAGGAGGUCAGACUGGGUGGUCACUAAUACCCUUUCCACAAAUCUCGUGUUCUGGAUGGAUGCAUUUUGGGACCUGAUCUAAGACAGUUGUUCACUUUUUAUUUCAGUGACAUCAUCCACUCAGGAGAGUUGGGGCGAGGCUGGCUGAGGUUCUCAAGGAGCUGAGUUUUGAGUUCAGGUGCUCGUGUAGCAGUGGAAUGAUGCCUCCUGACCUUUCAGACCUUUGAGACCUCUGGGCGGUCUUAGAAAUCACUUCAAGCCUCCAGUCCAGGAUACGACUGCCUAGGGGAAUUCCAGGGAAAGGUGGCAGAGAUGCCAUGGACUACAAGGUGAUGAAUACCACUAUGAGCUCACUACAAGAUCUCAAAGAUUUCAAGCCACUGGCUGUUACAAAGCAUAAAGCCACCCUUCUGGAGCAGCGGCGGGAGGCAGGCUGGGAGGAGGCCCCAAGUUUUGGCCAGACGAUAGACCACCUCCUUAGGUGUCCGGGGAGCUGCUGAAACAUAAUGAGGAAGAUGCUGCUGAUCCAAAGGAUAAAAACACAGAAACUAGAACCAAGAAGCACCUAAAGUGGACUCAUGCCCAGCAUCCCUGCAGACUGACUUUCUCUGAGCUAUAGUUCUGCAUUGGACUGUUUUUCCUUUGCUAUCACCUGCCCAACACACAAUCCUGGAUGCUUUUGAUUGGUUGGAUUUCUUUUUUUUUUUUCCUGCCUUUUCUUUUUCUUUCCUUGACCCUGGGAAUUAUAAACGAGAAAUUGCUUUAAAAAGUAUUGUUCUGUGCUAAAAUUAGCCUUGUUUAUGAACAAGUUUUAUCCCUAGGGAUUUCCUGAAUUGCAAUCCCAGAUUACCUUGUAAAUGGGGCUGUGUUGUUUGAUUUGUAUAGUACUGAUCUGUAGGUUAAAAUACGUUUCCUUUCUUUUGUUUCAUUCUUUUUUUAAAAGUCUGGAUCCAGGUAAUGGCCUGAGUCACAUUUGCUUAGCUACUGAAGCGAUCUCAAUAUGUUAUCGCUUAGAGUUGAAACAUAAUCAAACAUACGUUAUACCUGGGGCUCUUGCACACUAUUUGAUAUAUAUAUGUUACUCUACAAAGAAACACAAACCUUGUAUGUUGAAAUGUAAUUCCUGUUUGAUCCUGCAGCUAGAAUGCUAAAGAAAUUGCAAAUAUCAAAAGUGACUUCAAAUACCCUGAAUAUAAGCUAGUCAACAGUAAGUGGAUGGUUCCAGAAUACCAUAUUCUAAGACAAAGCAGGAAUUAGAGAUCAACUGACCUCAUCCAUAAUGUUGCUCAGGUCUGUCUGUGGAUCUGUCCAUUUUGGAGUAAAAAACAAGGCAUGCUUCUGUGAUUGUGUUUAUGAAAACUGUAGUAUUUCAGAUUUAUGUUUUGCAAUUGUGCCUGCCUUGCAAUAAAACACCUUCAGUUGACUCAGCA